RNAcentral lists this ribosomal RNA (200 nucleotides) under uncultured bacterium. Its description in RNAcentral is "partial 16S ribosomal RNA". It matches the Rfam family "Bacterial small subunit ribosomal RNA", at positions 8 to 202 of the family's 1533-position model. The record is from RNAcentral.
AGAGUUUGAUCCUGGCUCAGGACGAACGCUGGCGGCGUGCCUAAUACAUGCAAGUCGAGCGAACAGAGAAGGAGCUUGCUCCUUUGACGUUAGCGGCGGACGGGUGAGUAACACGUGGGCAACCUACCUUAUAGUUUGGGAUAACUCCGGGAAACCGGGGCUAAUACCGAAUAAUCUAUUUUACUUCAUGGUGAAAUACU